This 920-nucleotide ribosomal RNA is filed under the name uncultured fungus. Its description in RNAcentral is "eukaryotic LSU rRNA". The stretch from base 277 to 920 matches the Rfam family "Eukaryotic large subunit ribosomal RNA", at positions 1 to 664 of the family's 3401-position model. The record is from RNAcentral. Lineage: Eukaryota; Fungi.
AUCGAUGAAGAACGCAGCGAAAUGCGAUAAGUAAUGUGAAUUGCAGAAUUCAGUGAAUCAUCGAAUCUUUGAACGCACAUUGCGCCCCGUGGUAUUCCGCGGGGCAUGCCUGUUCGAGCGUCAUUUCAACCCAUCAAGCUUCGGCUUGGAUUUGAGGCCUGCGUUUUGUCGCAGCCUCUAAACUCAGUGGCGGUGCUAUUGAGCUCUGAGCGUAGUAAAUCUCCUCGCUAUAGGGCCUCGGUAGUUGCUUGCCAACAACCCCAAUUUUUAUCAGGUUGACCUCGGAUCAGGUAGGGAUACCCGCUGAACUUAAGCAUAUCAAUAAGCGGAGGAAAAGAAACCAACAGGGAUUACCUCAGUAACGGCGAGUGAAGCGGUAACAGCUCAAAUUUGAAAUCUGCCGCAAGGCCGAGUUGUAAUUUGUAGAAGAUGCUUUGGGUAUGGCCCCGGUCUAAGUUCGUUGGAACACGACGUCAUAGAGGGUGAGAAUCCCGUAUGUGACUGGGUGCUUUUGCCUAUGUAAAGCUCUUUCGACGAGUCGAGUUGUUUGGGAAUGCAGCUCAAAAUGGGUGGUAUAUUUCAUCUAAAGCUAAAUAUUGGCCAGAGACCGAUAGCGCACAAGUAGAGUGAUCGAAAGAUGAAAAGCACUUUGGAAAGAGAGUUAAACAGUACGUGAAAUUGUUGAAAGGGAAGCGCUUGCAACCAGACUUGCACGCUGUCGAUCAUCCAGGCUUCUGUUUGGUGCACUCGGCUGUGUUCAGGCCAGCAUCGGUUUUGGUGGUGGGAUAAAGGCCUUGGGAAUGUAGCUUCUUUCGGGGAGUGUUAUAGCCCUCGGUGCAAUGCCGCCUACCGGGACCGAGGACCGCGCUUCGGCUAGGAUGCUGGCGUAAUGGUUGUAAGCGACCCGUCUUGAAACACGG